CAGCAGGAUUUUUUUUUAAGUGACAGAUGAAGUCUAAAAAUCAUAGAGAAAUGCAAAGGACUAAAAAUAGUCUUGAAAAAGAACAAAAUUAGAGGACUAAUAUUAUCUCAUUUUAAGACUUAUUGCAAAGUUAUAUUAAUAAAAAAUCUGUUAUGUUAGCAUAAAGCUAUACAUAUAGAUAAAUAAAAUAGAGUCUACAUGUACAAAUAGUUUUUUUGACAAAGUCAAGUGAGAAAAGAUAGUGUUUUCAGCAAAUGGUUGAAAUAUGUAUAUCUUAUAGAUAUAUAUAAUCACAGAGUAUACAAAUUGUUCAACAUUUCAGUGAUGAAACAAAAAAGAACUAGGAUUUUAGGCCAGAUUUUGACCUUGCAUUAAAGCACACUGCCAUAGUAAAGGGAAUGGCCUUUGCAGUGAUGCCAUUUUCUCAGCUGUUUGGGCCUCACUGGACCCUGAGCAUCUUGAGAACAAGGCCCAUGUCUGAUUUACAUGAGAACCUCAGGGUGUUCCACUGUUCACUGAGCAAGCAGUAACAGUGGCUCAGUUAAAAAUUGUUGUGUUUCAUUCAGUUGCCAUUUCUCUUUACCUUUAGUUGUGCUCAGAUCAAUAGGAGUUACAGGCAUGAGGAUCUCCAGAGCUUAUACAACUGAUCCUGUGUGUGUGUGUGCGUGUGUGUGUGUGUGUGUGUGUGUGUGUUAGAGCUAGGAUCAUGUAUGUGGUAUAUUUUCAUAUGUAGGUCUGUGGAAGUCACAGAGGUAUAUGGGAAGAAUACAUUGCUAUCCCAAACAACACACACACACACUCUAAUCAAAUGUUUGUCUGCAAUAAGAAGCAAGAAUGAAUGAUCCAAAUAAGAGCAUUAAACAAAGACCUGAGGGUCAUUAAGGCUUCAGGCCUUUGAACUAACUAGAUAAACAGAAGCCUCGUCAGCAGUCAGGGCUAGAUUUUCUUUCUGCUGUAGGAUGUGUUCUGUGCAGGGUUUGGAGAGCAAGCACCUCCUUCUCUCCACACCCUUAUUUAAACAGGCUUGUAAAAGCUGGGGAAGAGAGCACAAAGCCUAAUGUCACUGAUAUUGCUGGCAAUACUGAUGUCAUGUUGGCUGUAUCUACAUAGCCCUGUUUCUAAAACAAUAGACUUGCAUUGUGUGCUGUCAUGGCUGGCUCUUCUCUUUCAUUCCCUUUAUUAUGUUUUUGAAGUGACUUUGAUGUGUAAAUGCAAAGGAACACAUGAAGGAGGGUGAGGGGUGGUGAUGAGUGCCCUGUAGGCUGCAGGUUGUUUGUCCAUCAGACACAAUCACACUCUGCUUUAGAAAACUGUCAAAGCCACCAGCAAGGCUCUAAAAGACUUUUUUUUUUAAAUCGUGAAUACACAUGAGCCACUUCACAGAUUGUAUUUGUAAUUAAUAGAAGGCCUAAGGUAUUCUUUCUCUAAUUCUAAAAGAUGUGCAGACACAAAGACAUUUCUUGAAAUUGUCAUAGCAGUUUGUCUCAAACCACUCAAGGACACAGUUUCAACUCCUAGUGAAAGCAACAGAGUCAGCUGCAGGUCAAAUGGCCACAUGAUAUUUCAGAAGAGCCGGUUUAGGAGUUCCCGUCAUGGCGCAGUGGAAAUGAAUCUGACUAGGAACCAUGAGGCUGUGGGUUCAAUCCCUGGCCUCGCUCAAUGGGUUAAGGGUCUGCCAUUGCUGUUACCUGUGGUGAAGGCCGCAGAUUCAGCUCUCAGCUCGGAUUCUGCAUUGCUGUGCCUUGUGGUAUAGGCUGGCAGCUGUAGCUCCGACUUGACCCUAGCCUGGGAACCUCCAUAGGCCACAGGUGUGGCCCUAAAAAAAACAAACAAACAAAAAAAAAGACCCAGGCUAAAAACUCCAGGAUGAGGAAGUAGACGUGCACAGAGUGCCAGCAUCUUGGCUGCUGCCUUCAAAUUUUUAUAUAUGCUCACAUUUACCCCUCAUACCAUCACUGGAAAGGAGCAUAUCAUUUAGAUUCUCAUGACUUGACCAAAGAUGCUUAAAUAGGGUAGUGGUAUAUUUCUUUCCCAUACAGAGUUGUUGGAAAGAGUCCAGUCAAGUAUGAAGGCUCCAUAAAGUCAGUGGGGGUCAAAGGCUCCUUCUAUCUUUAUCCUUUUGUCUCCCUAGCAUAUCCUAAAGGCCAAAAGAUAGCUACUAGAGCUCCAGCUAUUAUAGCUGCAUCCCUGGUAGGAAUAGUGAAAGAGCAAGAUGGCAAAAAGAGCUUCUUCAAGUUCCAUUUUGUGACUAUUACCUGUAAUCUCUUAGCUGCCAUCAUUGUCAUUCCGCUGAAAAAAUCAUGUUCUCUAUCCAAACAAGAGUGGAGAAGGAUAUUAAAUAAAUUAGCAGUCUCUGGCCAGACAAGAAUAAGUAUUUCAAUUAAAAACUGAGUUUCCAUGAGAUAAAGGACCCAAACCUAAGUCAUCAUCAACCCAGAAAAUGGUGACAAUUUUCUGUGAGAAAAUAAGUAUGUGAACCACCAAGGUCAGAGCUUGAACCUAAGCAGGGACUAAGGUUGGUUCAAGCUCAUCUGUCAUGGGUUUAAUGGGUUGAAUUGCAUAAGCAGGUUAGAAUUGAAGUGUUUUGAUGGAAUGAACAGAAAAGUCAGUGUAUGCAGAGAAUGUGGCCCUGAGAAGGGCUAUGUGGAAAAGGGAUGUGAAGGAGAACUAUCACCUGCCUGGGGUAUCUUUUCCCCAGAAUAGCUCCAUGAACACAUAACCACCCCUCACGUCAUAAAGGGAGUUGACCAAAGAUAAGGAGGAAUUCUGAAUGCUAAGUUGCUUUGCCUCUGUCAACAUGGAGUGGGAAAGAAGGUGCCUAACCAACGUUUUUGAAAAUGCAGUGUGCCUUGAGCUCAGGGAGACCUUCAGGGAUGUCAGCAAUUUGUCCAGGGUUUGCAGUUUUUAGGGAGGUGUGUUCUUGCUUAGGGGGAACUAUCAUCAUGAACCUUGGAAAUGUAAGGUCUGUGUGAAGACGCUUGAGGGUGUAAUCACACCAUUCCAUGCUCCACGUUGGCCACCAGUUGAUGGAUGUGUUUAUAGCCAGCUUUCCAUGCCCAAAUCCUAACUGAACUUUGAAGUAAGAGAUUAUUUCUAGGGCUGGCAAACACAUCCAAGACUAUUGACCACAGUCGAAUAUAAGGUUUCAUGGGAUGCUUGAAUCCUCAAACUGGUCAGCCUUAUGCUAACCCACAGCAUGCCUGCUCCCUGGGGAUGCUUUGCAUGGAGUGGAGCUGGGAGAACCCUAGGCUUACAGUUUGAUUUUUGUGUACUCAAAUCUCCUUCUCUCUUAUACUCUUAAACCCAUAAUUCUAAAAGAGUUUUCUAUGGCCAUAAUGUAUAUCACCACCAAUGCCAGUUGUACUGGAGCUUCUUCAAUCUUUGAACUAAUAAGUGGUUUAAAUAAUGAAGGUUUUGUCACUGUUCUCUGCUCUGCUCCUUGUCCUUCCUGUACUUUCAUCCUGUCCAUCAGUCCUCUUUAGUAAGAUAAUUUU
RNAcentral lists this long non-coding RNA (3494 nucleotides) under Sus scrofa (pig). RNAcentral's name for it is "lncRNA (ENSSSCG00030050041.1)". Lineage: Eukaryota; Metazoa; Chordata; Mammalia; Artiodactyla; Suidae. The record is from RNAcentral.